RNAcentral lists this ribosomal RNA (463 nucleotides) under uncultured Corynebacterium sp. RNAcentral describes it as "bacterial SSU rRNA". It matches the Rfam family "Bacterial small subunit ribosomal RNA", at positions 338 to 795 of the family's 1533-position model. Lineage: Bacteria; Bacillati; Actinomycetota; Actinomycetes; Mycobacteriales; Corynebacteriaceae. The record is from RNAcentral.
CCUACGUGCGGCUGCAGUGGGGAAUAUUGCACAAUGGGCGCAAGCCUGAUGCAGCGACGCCGCGUGGGGGAUGACGGCCUUCGGGUUGUAAACUCCUUUCGUUAGGGACGAAGCCACGCCUUUUUUUGGGUGUGGUGACGGUACCUUUGUUAAGAAGCACCGGCUAACUACGUGCCAGCAGCCGCGGUAAUACGUAGGGUGCGGGCGUUGUCCGGAAUUACUGGGCGUAAAGAGCUCGUAGGUGGUUUGUUGCGUCGUCUGUGAAAUUCCGGGGCUUAACUUCGGGGUGGCAGGCGAUACGGGCAUAACUAGAGUGCUGUAGGGGAGACUGGAAUUCCUGGUGUAGCGGUGGAAUGCGCAGAUAUCAGGAGGAACACCGAUGGCGAAGGCAGGUCUCUGGGCAGUAACUGACGCUGAGGAGCGAAAGCAUGGGGAGCGAACAGGAUUAGAUACCCCGGUAGUC